RNAcentral lists this long non-coding RNA (586 nucleotides) under Musa acuminata (dwarf banana). Its description in RNAcentral is "long non-coding RNA (MACU_LNC010571)". The record is from RNAcentral. Lineage: Eukaryota; Viridiplantae; Streptophyta; Magnoliopsida; Zingiberales; Musaceae.
ACAGUUGAAUCAGGUGACCAUCAAAAACGAGUAUUUUCUAAAGUGACGACUUGUUUGAUUAACUGCAGGGUACACAAGUAUUUUUAAAGAUUGUUUGAAUAUCGGGUUACCAUCUAUUGAGGAUCAAGGAGGAGAAUAUUUCGGUCACUCGUGGAUAAUUGUGUAAUUGUAUUGUAUUGAUGAAACUAUUUAAGAGCAGGAGGAGGAAAUAAAGAUAUCAUAAUCGUCAUCUUUUCAUCGAUUGAGCUAUGAUCAAUUUAGAGGACUAAAUUUUCUUUUAAGGAGGGGAGAGUGUAAUAUCCCUCACUUUUGAAAAUUAUUAAUAAGGAUUUAUAUGUAAAUUGGAGGACCUAUAUGUAAAUAUAGAAAUUUCAAGGACUAAACUAUUAAGUUGUAAAAAGAAAAAAAAAUAAAGAAAAUAAAAAAUUUUGGUUUUAUCCCACCGCCUCCCACGCUCUCUCUGUUGAGGGAGAAGAGAAGAGGCGUUGAGGGAGAAGAGAAGAAAAGAAGAAGAAGAGGGAAAAUAAGAGAUUAGGAAGAAGAGGGAGAAGAGAAGAAAAGAAGAAGAAGAAGAAGAAGAGAGGGA